This 464-nucleotide ribosomal RNA is filed under the name uncultured bacterium. RNAcentral's name for it is "partial 16S ribosomal RNA". It matches the Rfam family "Bacterial small subunit ribosomal RNA", at positions 28 to 507 of the family's 1533-position model. The record is from RNAcentral.
GACGAACGCUGGCGGCGUGCUUAACACAUGCAAGUCGUACGGUAAGGCCCUUUCGGGGGUACACGAGUGGCGAACGGGUGAGUAACACGUGAGUAACCUGCCCACAACUUUGGGAUAACGCUAGGAAACUGGUGCUAAUACUGGAUAUGUGCUCCUGCUGCAUGGUGGGGGUUGGAAAGCUCCGGCGGUUGUGGAUGGACUCGCGGCCUAUCAGCUUGUUGGUGGGGUAGUGGCCUACCAAGGCGGCGACGGGUAGCCGGCCUGAGAGGGUGACCGGCCACAUUGGGACUGAGAUACGGCCCAGACUCCUACGGGAGGCAGCAGUGGGGAAUAUUGCACAAUGGGCGCAAGCCUGAUGCAGCAACGCCGCGUGCGGGAUGACGGCCUUCGGGUUGUAAACCGCUUUCAGCAGGGACGAAGCGUGAGUGACGGUAAUGGGUAAAGAAGCACCGGCUAACUACGUG